RNAcentral lists this ribosomal RNA (465 nucleotides) under Vreelandella stevensii. Its description in RNAcentral is "partial 16S ribosomal RNA". It matches the Rfam family "Bacterial small subunit ribosomal RNA", at positions 338 to 795 of the family's 1533-position model. The record is from RNAcentral. Lineage: Bacteria; Pseudomonadati; Pseudomonadota; Gammaproteobacteria; Oceanospirillales; Halomonadaceae.
CCUACGGGUGGCUGCAGUGGGGAAUAUUGGACAAUGGGCGAAAGCCUGAUCCAGCCAUGCCGCGUGUGUGAAGAAGGCCUUCGGGUUGUAAUGCACUUUCAGUGGGGAAGAAAGCCUUGGGGCUAAUACCCUCGAGGAAGGACAUCACCCACAGAAGAAGCACCGGCUAACUCCGUGCCAGCAGCCGCGGUAAUACGGAGGGUGCGAGCGUUAAUCGGAAUUACUGGGCGUAAAGCGCGCGUAGGCGGUCUGAUAAGCCGGUUGUGAAAGCCCCGGGCUCAACCUGGGAACGGCAUCCGGAACUGUCAGGCUAGAGUGCAGGAGAGGAAGGUAGAAUUCCCGGUGUAGCGGUGAAAUGCGUAGAGAUCGGGAGGAAUACCAGUGGCGAAGGCGGCCUUCUGGACUGACACUGACGCUGAGGUGCGAAAGCGUGGGUAGCAAACAGGAUUAGAUACCCCGGUAGUC